Molecule: unclassified non-coding RNA, 378 nt
Filed under: plant metagenome
Description: partial contains 5.8S ribosomal RNA, internal transcribed spacer 2, and large subunit ribosomal RNA
Rfam family: 5.8S ribosomal RNA (bases 1-105)
Source: RNAcentral
GAAAUGCGAUAAGUAAUGUGAAUUGCAGAAUUCAGUGAAUCAUCGAAUCUUUGAACGCACCUUGCGCUCCUUGGUAUUCCUUGGAGCAUGCCUGUUUGAGUAUCAUGAAAUCUUCAAAGUAAAUCUUUUGUUAACUCAAUUGGUUUCUACUUUGGUAUUGGAGGUCUUUGCAGCUUCACACCUGCUCCUCUUUGUUCAUUAGCUGGAUCUCAGUGUUAUGCUUGGUUCCACUCGGCGUAAUAAGUUAUCUAUCGCUGAGGACACUGUAAAAGGUGGCCAAGGUAAAUGCAGAUGAACCGCUUCUAAUAGUCCAUUGACUUGGACAAUACUUUUAUGAUCUGAUCUCAAAUCAGGUAGGACUACCCGCUGAACUUAAGC